GAAACUGGAUGUCUUGAGGAAGAGAUAGGAAACAGGAAUUCCCGGUGUAGCGUGGAAUGUGUAGAUAUCGGGAGGACACCAACGGCGAAGGCAAGUUUCUGGCUCUUACCUGACGUUCAGGAGCGAAAGCGUGGGAAGCAAACAGGAUAGAAUACCCUGGUAGUCCACGCCUUAAACGAUGGUUGCUAGCUGUUGGGAUAUAAAAUCUCGGUGCCGAAGUGAAGACGUUAAGCACCCCACCUGGGGAUAACGUUCGCAAGGCUGAAACUCAAAGGAAUUGCACGGGUCCCCCGCACAAGCGGGUGGAGCAUGUGUGUUUAAUCUCGUGCCAACGCGAGAGAACUCUCACCGUGGACUUAGACUAUGUAUAUGUAGAGCCCUGUGAAAACGCAGGGCCCCAUCGAGAGCUUUGCUCAAUAGGGCAUUAAACCCGGUUGAUGCAUGCCUGUCGUCAGCUCGUCCCGUGAGUUGUUGGGUUAAGUCCCGCAACGAGCACAACCCCUGUUGUUUGUUGCCAGCACAUAAUGGUGGGAACUCAAACAAGACUGCCAGGGAUAACCUGGAGGAAGGUGGGGAUGACGUCAAGUCAGCAUGUCCCUUACGUUCAGGGCGACAAACGUGCUACAGUGGCCGGUACAAAGGGCAGCGACCCCGUGAGGGUGAGCUAAUCUCAAAAAACCGGUCCCAGUUCGGAUUGUAGUCUG
This 704-nucleotide ribosomal RNA is filed under the name uncultured organism. RNAcentral describes it as "bacterial SSU rRNA". It matches the Rfam family "Bacterial small subunit ribosomal RNA", at positions 629 to 1307 of the family's 1533-position model. The record is from RNAcentral.